AUGCUAUCCAUGCUUGAAUUAUUAAGCCUAUAUUUUAAUCAACUCUCUGGCCUAGUAACACAAGCCAUGUUCAACAUGUCUAGAUUACAGGAAAUUUCACUAGUAAAUAAUCGUAACCUGACUGGAACAUUUCUGAGCAAUCAAAGUUUCAGCCUCCUAAUGUUACAGUUUAUUUUUAUAUAUCUUAACAAAUUUGUUGGUCGUUUAGCAUCAGGGUUUACAUCAUGCCAACACUUACAAGUAAUUGAUUUGCACGAAAAUUCUUUUGUGGAUGUUCUGCCAACAUGGUUAGCCAAAUUAACAAACCUCAAAAAAACUUAA
RNAcentral lists this ribosomal RNA (321 nucleotides) under Triticum aestivum (bread wheat). RNAcentral's name for it is "partial small subunit ribosomal RNA". Lineage: Eukaryota; Viridiplantae; Streptophyta; Magnoliopsida; Poales; Poaceae. The record is from RNAcentral.